This 499-nucleotide ribosomal RNA is filed under the name Dialister invisus. RNAcentral describes it as "bacterial SSU rRNA". It matches the Rfam family "Bacterial small subunit ribosomal RNA", at positions 9 to 474 of the family's 1533-position model. Lineage: Bacteria; Bacillati; Bacillota; Negativicutes; Veillonellales; Veillonellaceae. The record is from RNAcentral.
GAGUUUGAUCCUGGCUCAGGACGAACGCUGGCGGCGUGCUUAACACAUGCAAGUCGAACGAAAAGAGGGAAAGAGCUUGCUCUUUCCGGAAUUGAGUGGCAAACGGGUGAGUAACACGUAAACAACCUGCCUUCAGGAUGGGGACAACAGACGGAAACGACUGCUAAUACCGAAUAAGUUCCAAGGGCCGCAUGGCCCAUGGAAGAAAAGGUGGCCUCUACCUGUAAGCUAUCGCCUGAAGAGGGGUUUGCGUCUGAUUAGCUGGUUGGAGGGGUAACGGCCCACCAAGGCGACGAUCAGUAGCCGGUCUGAGAGGAUGAACGGCCACGCUGGAACUGAGACACGGUCCAGACUCCUACGGGAGGCAGCAGUGGGGAAUCUUCCGCAAUGGGCGAAAGCCUGACGGAGCAACGCCGCGUGAGUGACGACGGCCUUCGGGUUGUAAAACUCUGUGAUCCGGGACGAGAAGGCAGGGUGCGAAGAACAAACUGCAUUGACG